This is a non-coding RNA of Malus domestica (apple), 2216 nucleotides long. The record is from RefSeq and is a predicted model, not a curated record. Lineage: Eukaryota; Viridiplantae; Streptophyta; Magnoliopsida; Rosales; Rosaceae.
CACCAUCUUCUUCUUCCUCCUUCCUGCCUUCUUCCCCAAUCUCUAGACCUCCAAUCUCUCUCUCUCUCUCUAAAACUCAACACCCCAUCAAUCAAAAACCCAACUUUUCUUUUCUUUUCAUCCAAACAGACCUUCCAAAUCCAAAUGGAUCUGGCCCCAGAGGAACUCCAAUUUCUCACCAUCCCUGACAUCCUCAGAGAAUCCACCUCCAUCCCCAAACAGUCGCCCAAAACCUUCUACCUCAUAACCCUAACCCUAAUCUUCCCUCUCUCCUUCGCCAUCCUCGCCCACUCCCUCUUCACCCACCCUCUCCUCAACCAGCUCCAAGGCCCUUCCACCGACCCCGCCCAGCUCCACCAAGAAUGGACCCUCCUCCUCCUCUUCCAAUUCUGCUACCUCAUCUUCCUCUUCGCCUUCUCCCUCCUCUCCACCGCCGCCGUCGUCUUCACCGCCGCCUCCCUCUACACCUCCAAGCCCGUCUCUUUCUCCAACACCCUCUCUGCAAUCCCAAAAGUCUUCAAGCGCCUCUUCAUCACUUUCCUCUGGGUCUCCCUCCUCAUGUUCUGCUACAAUCUCGUCUUCGUCGGCUUCCUCGUCCUCCUCAUCCUCGCCAUCGAUACCCAGAAUUCAUUUCUGCUCCUCUUCUCCGGCAUCGUCAUCUUCCUCCUCUUCUUGGUCGUCCACGUCUACAUCACCGCGCUCUGGCACUUGGCCAGCGUGGUCUCCGUGCUCGAGCCCAUCUACGGGUUCGCCGCCAUGAAGAAGAGCUAUGAGCUGCUCAAGGGGAAGGUUGGGAUGGCCUUCGUGCUCGUUUUCGGGUACUUGACCAUCUGCGGGGUUAUCAGUGCGGUUUUCGGGUCGGUGGUGGUGCACGGCGGGGAGGAUUACGGGGUUUUUGUGAGGAUUGUGGUUGGUGGGUUUUUGGUGUGUGUCCUGGUGAUUGUGAAUUUGGUUGGAUUGCUAUUGCAGAGUGUGUUUUACUACGUCUGCAAAAGCUACCAUCACCAGGGGAUUGACAAGGGCGCUCUGCACGAUCAUCUGGGUGGGUAUCUCGGAGAGUAUGUGCCUCUCAAGAGCAACGUUCAGAUGGAAAACUUGGAUGUCUGAUGGGAAAGGAACAAGAUUGCUUGAAUUGAAUGUGGGUGAGGUUGUGUUUACCUGAUUGGAAAAUCUUCAGGUUGUUUAGAAAAAUAUAAAUAUGAACCGCAGUCAAAGACUUUAAUAUCAUCUUAACAGAAGGAGCCAGUUCUCUGAGUAGUUUGCAGUCCGGUUGGAUCGUAUGCCAGGGAAUUCACUUUGGCAAUGAAAUUAUUCUGAUGUUUAUCGAAAACAUGGCUCGCGAAAUGGGACUGUUUAAAGCUUGCUCUUAGCAACACCAACUGGUUUGUCUCUAGACCUUCGCUCCACAGCUCGGGAAAGUUGCUUCACUGCCUCCUUCGGAAAAUACGCCGGUUUGGUCAGCCACUCUCCCCCGUCUACAACCAACGUUGUUCCGUUGAUGUAUUUUCCUUCAAGCACCAAACAAAUUAAUAACAUCAUGUCUCCACACAAGUGAGAAAUCCGAAAGAACCCCAGCAUCGACUGAUUAUUUUCGAAACAGAUAAUUCAACGAAGGAGAUGAAUUUCGAACCUGCAUCGGAUGAAAGAUAUAGAGCGGCCAUAGCAAUAUCCCAUUUCUUCCCCAGUUUGGAUACAAGAAUCUGCUCUUUGGGUUUGCUCAGCAUCUCCUGAGGUAAAAGUUUACUGAAACCGGCAGUGUCUUCGAUAGGUCCUGGUGCGAUACCAUUCACUCUAAUAUCGUAGUCUGUGCCCCACUCCAACGCCAAGCUUCUCGUAAUGCUGUCGACGGCUGCCUGGUAACAUAGAGGAACCCGAAUCAAUCAGGACGGUCACAGACUGAUCAAAAGUACACACACGGGAGCGAAGAUAUAGCAAAGUUUUCGGUUACUUGACAAACCUUUGCUGCAGACACAUGAAUCUGAUACCAAGUAGCUGUGUAGUGCAACGUCGCGCUUAUGUUUAUUAUCGAUCCACCAGCAGCCGAGUUCUUCCCUGAUGCCCCUUUCUUAAGAUACUUGAGCGCUUCGUGACACAUUGUGAAGGUGCCAACGGCGUCUAUGUCUAUAACUGCAGGAACCAAUUCACGGAAUAAGAAUCCGUUUUAACAGUCUUAAGAGCUUUUCAACAGGAGUAAAACUAACUAGCUAUGUUUUUUA